AGUCCUCUCUCUGUAGCCAUGUCCACUGCCCGAUGAAGAUGAGGUUCCUUGAGUGUCCUCCGGAUCUCGGAGAGGAAGGUUACGUAGAUGAAGCAGACAGAUUCUACAACAACCCUCUUUACUGGCUCAGGACUUCAUUUCCAUACAAAUCUUCUCUACCAACCCAUCUAGUUCUGUUCAAUGUUUUGGAGAAGGAAAUCUCAGUGUUUUUACAAGGGAAUAACUUCACCAGGACAGCAGAGAUAUUUCACACUCAUGUUCCCGAGGGAAGAGUUGGAGGAAGCAUUUUUAUUUAUGAGAGGCACUGAACACAAACACUGGAACAAAGUUUUAUUUUUGUAAUGAGAAUGUCACAUGAUAUCGCAGCUGAAUUAAAUGUUUUACACUCAAAUGUUGGUUUGAAUGAACAAUUACCACAUGUAUCCAAUGUAUUAUUUUUUUGUUGGUGUGACAUAUUUUCCAGUCAUUUUUCCAACAGAUGUAAAUAAAACAAACAAGACUUACAGGUCCAGUUAAAAUAAGCUUUAAGUGGAAUGUUAGAAAUAUUAACUCUGAAAGGAAAUUACACCCUUGUCAUACAAACAUGUCUUUGUAGCAGUAAUUUGAAAGAAAGUUUUGUUCAAACAACAUUUUUCUCUUUAAAAUUGUGUGUAAUUUGAAAAACAAUUGCUGUGGUUGAAGAUCAGUGGUUUAUAAGCAAGAAAUCUUCAUCAGGUCCCAAAUUAACUGGCCAAAAACAGUGCAUUACUUUCACAUUUGUAAAAUAUGAAAUAAUUCUGUGUAAUUAUGUCACAUUUUUGCAUGUUUAGCUGACUUCCAACCAAAAGACUUUCCACGUCGGUCGAGCUAUUGAUGAAAAUAAUAAAUAAAAGUGUACUCAAUUCAA
Non-coding RNA from Plectropomus leopardus (leopard coralgrouper), 886 nucleotides. The record is from RefSeq and is a predicted model, not a curated record. Lineage: Eukaryota; Metazoa; Chordata; Actinopteri; Perciformes; Serranidae.